UACGAAGGGUGCAAGCGUUAAUCGGAAUUACUGGGCGUAAAGCGUGCGCAGGCGGUUUUGUAAGCCCGAUGUGAAAUCCCCGGGCUCAACCUGGGAAUGGCAUUUGGGACUGCAAGGCUGGAGUUUGGCAGAGGAGACUGGAAUUCCUGGUGUAGCAGUGAAAUGCGUAGAUAUCAGGAGGAAUACCGAUGGCGAAGGCAGGUCUCUGGGCUAUAACUGACGCUCAUGCACGAAAGCGUGGGGAGCAAACAGG
RNAcentral lists this ribosomal RNA (253 nucleotides) under uncultured bacterium. Its description in RNAcentral is "partial 16S ribosomal RNA". It matches the Rfam family "Bacterial small subunit ribosomal RNA", at positions 524 to 776 of the family's 1533-position model. The record is from RNAcentral.